GACGAACGCUGGCGGCGUGCUUAACACAUGCAAGUCGAACGGACAGGCCCUGCUUUUGUUGUUUGCUCGUUUGGCGAACGGGUGAGUAACACGUGUGUAACCUCCCCUUGUCUUUGUGAUAACUUCUGGAAACUGCGGCUAAUACCGGAUAUGAGCUCCUGCUGCAUGGUGUGCGUUGGAAAGUUUCGGCGGUUGGGGAUGGACUCGCUGCUUAUCAGCUUGUUGGUGGGGUAGUGGCUGACCAAGGCUUUGACGGGUAGCCUGCCUGAGAGGGUGACCGGGCACAUUGGGCCUGAGAUACGGCGCAGACGCCAACGGGAGGCAGCAGGGGGGAAUAUGGCAGAAUGGGCGGAAGCCAGAUGCAGAAACGCCGGGUGCGGGAUGACGGGCUUCGGGUGGUAAACAGAUGUCGCCUGUGACGAAGCGUGAGUGACGGUAAUGGGUAAAGAAGCACCGGCUAACUACGUG
This 468-nucleotide ribosomal RNA is filed under the name uncultured bacterium. Its description in RNAcentral is "partial 16S ribosomal RNA". It matches the Rfam family "Bacterial small subunit ribosomal RNA", at positions 28 to 507 of the family's 1533-position model. The record is from RNAcentral.